Molecule: ribosomal RNA, 433 nt
Filed under: uncultured bacterium
Lineage: Bacteria
Description: partial 16S ribosomal RNA
Rfam family: Bacterial small subunit ribosomal RNA
Source: RNAcentral
AGCGAACGCUGGCGGCAGGCCUAACACAUGCAAGUCGAACGAACUCUUCGGAGUUAGUGGCGGACGGGUGAGUAACACGUGGGAACGUGCCUUUUGGUUCGGAAUAACUCAGGGAAACUUGUGCUAAUACCGAAUGUGCCCUUCGGGGGAAAGAUUUAUCGCCAUUAGAGCGGCCCGCGUCUGAUUAGCUAGUUGGUGAGGUAACGGCUCACCAAGGCGACGAUCAGUAGCUGGUCUGAGAGGAUGACCAGCCACACUGGGACUGAGGCACGGCCCAGACUCCUACGGGAGGGAGCAGUGGGGAAUCUUGCGCAAUGGGCGAAAGCCUGACGCAGCCAUGCCGCGUGAAUGAUGAAGGUCUUAGGAUUGUAAAAUUCUUUCAACGGGGACGAUAAUGACGGUAACCGGAGAAGAAGCCCCGGCUAACUUCGUG